CCUACGGGAGGCAGCAGUGGGGAAUAUUGGGCAAUGGGCGCAAGCCUGACCCAGCAACGCCGCGUGAGGGAAGAAGGCUUUCGGGUUGUAAACUUCUUUUGUCAGGGAAGAGUAGAAGACGGUACCUGACGAAUAAGCAACGGCUAACUACCUGCCAGCAGCCGCGGUAAUGCGUGGGUGGCAAGCUUUGUCCGGAUUUCCUGGGUGUAAAGGGCGUGUAGCCGGUUUGACAAGUCAGAUGUGAAGUCCUGCGGCCUAACCGCAGAACAGCAUUUGAAACUGUUGAUCUUGAGUACUGGAGAGGCAGACGGAAUUCCUAGUGUAGCGGUGAAAUGCGUAGAUAUUAGGAGGAACACCAGUGGCGAAGGCGGGAUGCCGGACAGCAACUGACGGUGAGGCGCGAAAGCGUGGGGAGCAAACAGGAUUAGAUACCCCUGUAGUC
This 442-nucleotide ribosomal RNA is filed under the name uncultured bacterium. RNAcentral describes it as "partial 16S ribosomal RNA". It matches the Rfam family "Bacterial small subunit ribosomal RNA", at positions 338 to 795 of the family's 1533-position model. The record is from RNAcentral.